GACGUAGGGGGCAAGCGUUGUUCGGAAUUAUUUGGGCGUAAAGCGCUCGUAGGCGGGAUUGGAAAGUCCGUGUUGAAAGACCUCGGCUCAACUGAGGGACCGGCUCGGAUACUCUAAUUCUUGAGGCAAUCAGAGGAUGAUGGAAUUCCCGGUGUAGCGGUGAAAAUGCGUAGAUAUCGGGAGGAACACCAGUGGCGAAGGCGAUCAUCUGGGGUUGUUCUGACGCUGAGGAGCGAAAAGCUAGGGGAGCAAACGGG
This 257-nucleotide ribosomal RNA is filed under the name uncultured bacterium. RNAcentral describes it as "partial 16S ribosomal RNA". It matches the Rfam family "Bacterial small subunit ribosomal RNA", at positions 524 to 776 of the family's 1533-position model. The record is from RNAcentral.